GACGAACGCUGGCGGCGUGCUUAACACAUGCAAGUCGAACGGAAAGGCCCCCAUCUUGGUGGGGGUGCUCGAGUGGCGAACGGGUGAGUAACACGUGGGUGAUCUGCCCUGUACUUCGGGAUAAGCUUGGGAAACUGGGUCUAAUACCGGAUAGGACCAUGGUUUAGUGUCUCAUGGUGGAAAGAUUAUUGUUUUGGUGCAGGAUGAGCUCGCGGCCUAUCAGCUUGUUGGUGGGGUAAUGGCCUACCAAGGCGUCGACGGGUAGCCGGCCUGAGAGGGUGGACGGGCACAUUGGGACUGAGAUACGGCCCAGACUCCUACGGGAGGCAGCAGUGGGGAAUAUUGCACAAUGGGCGCAAGCCUGAUGCAGCGACGCCGCGUGGGGGAUGACGGCCUUCGGGUUGUAAACUCCUUUCGUUAGGGACGAAGCCACGCUUUUGGGGUGUGGUGACGGUACCUUUGUUAAGAAGCACCGGCUAACUACGUG
Molecule: ribosomal RNA, 487 nt
Filed under: uncultured bacterium
Lineage: Bacteria
Description: partial 16S ribosomal RNA
Rfam family: Bacterial small subunit ribosomal RNA
Source: RNAcentral